UACCGUUUUGUUUCGUCUGCGGCG
RNAcentral lists this non-coding RNA (24 nucleotides) under Arabidopsis thaliana (thale cress). The record is from RNAcentral. Lineage: Eukaryota; Viridiplantae; Streptophyta; Magnoliopsida; Brassicales; Brassicaceae.